AUGUUGAUUGACAAGACUUGCUGGAAAUACAAGGAUUUUCCAAAGUCAAAGAAAAAUGACGAAGCAGAGUCUCAGGGAAGCAUUGAUAUGUUCAAGCUCUGCAACUUGAAGCCAGCUUUGCCAACCACCUUUCCCGUGCCAGAUUUCAGCGACAAAGAUAUGUGUGAGAAGAUCAACUUUGCCAUUGACAAGAGCCUGUUCUUAUCAACUGAUGCUGAAAAGAAUCAAAUUGACAUGGAGGAAGCAGGAAAGGGAGAUGCCCUGGUCCUUGAACCCUUACAAAGAUCAAACUCUUAUCAUGGUGACGGGUUCUGCGAUGCACCAUCUUUUGACCUCGACAUAGAUGGUGAUGCUCCAGCACCUGCUCCAGCAGCAGAAACAGCGGAAGCCGGUGUGAUCAGCAUCGAUGAGUGUGAGUUAGACCCAGCAGCUGUGAAUGAAGGAUGUGAUGCUGCUGAUGCUGUCAAGGCAAUAGCUCAAGAACUAGAUGUUAGUUCACCAGAGAAUUGCCACACCCCGAUAUGCGCAGAACCAGAACUUGGCAUGAGCAGUUCUUCGGGGCCACCUCUUGCACGAAGACAGAGGAUGGUAAGAAGGCCCGCAGCAUCUCAAAGGUCUCCAUUCAUCGACUACAACAAGAACAAGACUUUCAGCACCAAUGAGGUAGUGAACAAGCAUUACGCUGCCCUCUUGUAUUGGGUCAGGCAUCACAAAGGAGCAGAUGAUGGAGCUACCAGCCCUGAGAUAAUCAGGUAUGGUGCUUUCUACAUUUCUUUAAAGGAGUUAGUUGAUUCGAUGAAGCCGGUUCAAUGGUUGUCAAAAAUUGUUAUUGAGACUGGAAUCUUACACAUAAUGGAUAACUUACCAGAAGGGUCAAAGAAGGUUGUUAUGCCUCUGAGGUUUUCUAUAAAAUUAUAG
This 918-nucleotide ribosomal RNA is filed under the name Triticum aestivum (bread wheat). Its description in RNAcentral is "partial small subunit ribosomal RNA". Lineage: Eukaryota; Viridiplantae; Streptophyta; Magnoliopsida; Poales; Poaceae. The record is from RNAcentral.